Molecule: long non-coding RNA, 4817 nt
Organism: Scophthalmus maximus (turbot)
Lineage: Eukaryota; Metazoa; Chordata; Actinopteri; Pleuronectiformes; Scophthalmidae
Source: Ensembl
AUGAUGAUUCCUCAUUUCUGCCUGCUCCUCUGCUGGCUGGCUCUCCCUCUACAAGGUCUGGAGAUACUUGACCCUGAGGAGGUGGAAUACAUCCGCUCCCAUGCUGCUGCAGCAGCGGGAGGCUCAGUCACCCUGGACUGUGGCUCCACCAUGCCUACUAUCUUCAUCUGGGGCUUCACCAGACCAGGGACCGAUAGCAAUGUUGCAUUGGCCUACAACUAUGGCCAGGGCCCGAAGCUGCAGUAUCAGUCCAGCAGCCAGGGCCGCAUGCGGGUGCCCGCCAACACCUCGGCUUUAGUCAUAGAGGAGCUUCAGAGGGAGGCGGCGGGGAUGUACACCUGCCAGGCUUUGUAUGACACCGACGAGGGGGCCAGGGUAACUUUCUAUUUCACCCGGCUGGAUGUGGAGGACGACUGAUGAAGGCCCGCUCUUCAAAUAUCUGUUACCGUCUUCUUUUCUAAAAAUUCAGCUCCUGAUCACUGCGUGCAUGAAUUGGUUCAUCUAAAUUCCCAAGUGAUAUCAAGCCAUGCAAGAUAACUGUAGGUCCUAUUUACACAGAAGUAGAGAUAAUCUGACUCAAAUUUUUAUAGGCUUGAGCUUUAUUAAGUUAUGGUUGGUCCUCUGGUUGUUUGCAUGAUAAUAAAAUGGGGGUGUCUCUCAAAGCUGCUUCUUUGCAUUGUGUAUGUUGAUCCAUAUUCAUGACUAAAACUCAGGAUAGAUUAGCCUCGGCUACAGAAACCUCUUUUAAAAUCUGUCUCAGACAAGAUUCCCAAUUUUUCCGUUAUAGCAAAAAUAUAUUGCCCCAGUACUCAUUUACCGUCAAUGUGUUUUUCCGCAGAAGUUGCUGCGGGAGUUUUUUUCCAGUUAGCUUUUUUCAUUGGAACUACUCCCCACUGUUGAAACAGUCUCAUAAGAGCCAUGAAAUUGUGUUAUUGCAGAUAAACAUAUAAGUCCUGUAUAAGGAAAAAACAUGCAGAUGUUGUUGUUGUUGUUGAUCGUAGUUUUUCGAUGCUGAAAGCAACAACCACAGAUGAACUUCCAUCCAGCUCCAUUGUUCAGGGGAAUGGGCAGAAACAGAUGAACCUGGAAAAAAAAACUGGACAAAUAAGCAAAAAUGAUCUUCAUGACCAAAUACCAUUAGAGGUAAAUGAGAGCCUCAUUUGUUUUGUCGUUUGGAAGAACUGAUCUCCGUAACACACACUGAAACACUUUGAUCGAGCAGAGACUGCACUAUUGUCUCCUGCAAUCUUUGUAGCCAUAUAAACUUACAAAGCGUGACACCGUGUAGACCUGAGGUUGUGGUUUCCAUUUCAAAUACUUUCGCCCGUCUUGUAUUGUGUUGAUUAUUAAAACCAUCUGGAUUGAGGGGUUCAUUAGACAGCACUAUUUUUUGCUUGUUUUUCUUGAAAUAGAUCGCUCAUUACGGUUUCUGCUUCAUCCCGACUACCACCCCGCUGUGUUGUUGUUCUGUCUUUAAGUGCAUGAGACGCUGAGCUUUGUUAACGACGUGCGUUGUCACUUUCGACACGGUGACAGGCCGUGGCACAUCAGAGCAGAGCGUGGCACAAAGCUCCUCGCUCAAAGGCCGCAAAACUCUCAUUCCUGGAUCACUUCCACCUUGACGGAAAUCCAUACACAUGAGCCGAAUGCUCUCCUGAAAAAAUUCAUCCAAUAUUAGAAUAAACACCGCGUUCUUCAUGUCUGUGCAUAGAUAUCCCAGAGUGGUGGGUCAAAAAUGAUCACAUAUUUUUCAGAGUUUCUUCUGACUCAUCCCGAAGCCUGGCUCUUCUCAACAGGUCCCACCUGCCUGUCAUCGCUGGGCUCAUCAUUGAUCCAGAGCAGGAGCAGGACUAUGUUGGAAUCAUGAAGUCCGUUGGCAGGGAGAAAAUGGGGCAGUUAAAUGGAAGCAGCUGGAAUUAAAGAUGAGGCUGUACUUUGCUUUUCCUCCCUGAUCAAAUCCAACAGGUGCCGUCUUUCCCAUGGCGCCCAAAAACAUCAUAUGUGGCAACUGCAUGCACCAGGACCCGAGCCUGAUAAGGAACACAUAGCAUAGGACAUAGGAGGAGACAGAUUGUUGGUCCUGCACUGCACAUGAGCUCAUCAUUCGCGCGGACCCGGCGGAAUGCUUCUGGAGCCCAUCCAAUGACAACAUGCUCCGCUUGGGGUUUGUGACAUCUCAAGGAUAAAGCCGCCCCGGGGGCCGAAUCAGGCGAGUUAACUACACACUGCCCGAUUCAUAAGGAAUCGCAGUCAUUCAGGGUGUGCUGGAGAGGGGAGAGAGAGGAAGAAUGGUGGGCGGAGGGGAGAGGGACGGGCGUUAACAGGUCGGCUCCGCGGCAAGGGGGCAGAAAUUCCAGCGCGGACAAUGAGCUUUCUUGUUCCCAGGGGCUCCUUAAUGAAGGGGUGUAGCUGCGUGGGUAGAGGGUGCACGGCAGGGCUGGGGGAGAGUGCCGACUGACAGACGUGGGAGAUGGAGAGGCAGCUCCUUUUGAGACAACCCCUGCCCUUAUCUUCUCCUCAUCGGCCCAGCCUGCAUCUGUCAGCGUCCCCUCUCCCGCCGUGGACCGUUCCUCUUUCAUUUCCAGCUUCAUUUCCGACCCAUUGUUUCGUUCCCCCUUUCUUUCUAAUGACAGCAGGACUCGAACGAGCUACUGCAUGGAAACGAAAACAAAAGAUUACAAUGAGACUGCGCAAACAAUUGCCAUCUCUUUCCAUCGUUCUUGGCCUUAGAAUCACUCUGAGUUCUGGAUUCCCUCCUCACUCACAAACAUGUCCUUGAUCGGUGACCAUCUGAGACACCAGAGGGGCUGCAGGCCCGAGAUGCUCCGGCAGGGCUGUUGCUGGGAAAAGGAGCGGGUUUGGGUCAAGUCAGCUGGGCAAAAGCCAUCAGCCUCGACAGCACGACAGCCUCCGUCGAGGCUAAAUAUAACAGCCGGAAGAGGCUGUGCCACGCCUCAGCAGCAGGGCGAGUAAAUCCAUGUGCCAGGAAUAACCCGCGCACCAUCAGAGGGGACGAGAGAUGCCAGGCGAGCCGGGGCCUGAGGACUGGCAGCCGACUCCUGGCACAGACACAGGCAGACAGGCACCAGGCAUGGGAAGCCCGCGCCCACAGUCGUCCUCUGCCCCGCUGCAAUCCUAUCAGGUCCGAUCAGCCGGCACUCCGUGGAGAUUAUUUUAAAACCAAUGAAGGGUUUAAGCCUUUAGAAAAAUCGGUUUUGGCUAACUCGGGCUGAAACCUGAGGAGGGUUCAUGACAACUGUUUUAUGAAUGAGUUAUCUGCGGCGAAUCACGGCGCGAGUUGUUGAUGACAGAAUUUUCAACUCACCUCCUUCUAUUUCUUAUGCACCACAGUCUGUUUUCUUCCUUUUUCUCAGUGAGAUGAUACUGUACAGCUGCAACGGGCAGCAUUGCGUGUUGGCAGCGCCUACUGACAAUUCAAAAUGCAGUCCACAGAAAUCUGUGCUGAAUGUCAUUUGGUUUGUGAUUGCUUGAACGGGGCAGCUUACCUGAAUCACUAUAACAUUAUUUCCCACUUGGCAUGCGGAUCAUUUUUAGUAUCACACAUCUUGUUUUUGUUUUGACCAUCUGAGAUUACGGCCUCUCACACAGUGAAAGUGGAGAAGAAUGUGUUUCAUCUGCGUGAAUCACUGGAGCUAUCGCGCUUGGAAAAACUCCGACACAAUUCCCCCCUUCGCUCUGGAUAAUCUAAAACAUCCACGUCCUGUCUCGGUACGAUGAAACAGAACUAUGAGGAUAAGGGUUUUUUGUUUUGAUUUUAUGAAUGGAACAUUUGCAGCUUGUUAAACGUAAGCGUUAGACUCAGUCCUUCCUGGGGGCUGGAGAUUUUGCACUAGAAUUUCAUUUGAGUUCAUCUGCGUGAAGUAUUGUGUGUUAACCAGCAGCAGAGCAGUUUUAACAUGCACAUAUUUGCGCGAGGGGGCCCCGCUCACUCUUAACGACUCUGUUUUGAAUGUACCCGCCCCUACUUCUCGAGCAGAUUGGGGCCAGUGGGUCAACAGUCCCCUCAAAGCAACGGUGCAUUCGGUGCAAAGUGAUGAGCUAUCAGGUAUUCAGUGAAGCAAGGAGCAGCGGCCUGACGCUGAACGGCGACGGGAAUGUUCACCCCGUUCAGGGGUCACUGCAGUGGGACAGCCCAUCGCUGAGCCCACAUCAAAGACCUGCCAGAAAUAUCGAUGGGCUCGCACCGAGCCUGGGAAAUUCACUCUGGCGGUCGUUCGUCAGGCACUAAACAUGGAGGUGGGGAGGAAAAGACACCUCGUUGUCGUUUACUCUUCCAUAUCUUCUCUUUAUAUUAUUACAAAAACUUUACACGGACAACGGCUAAUCUCCACGCUUUGAACGUGGAAAAACAGGAGGGACAAAAACAAAACAAAAAAUAAAAAGUAUUUCUCAUCCAAAAGGCAUAAAUAAUAUAAAAGACAAACUUUUUUUUCUUUAAAAACAGAUACAUUCAUAUGAAAUAAUAUUUUACUACUACAAAAAAUAAAUAAGUCAUCUAAAGAGUUCUUUUUUGUGUGUGGAUCUUUUAUGAGAGUCUUCCCUCCAGUGGGACACAGAGUCUGUCUCUGAGCAACGCUCCCCUUUCUCUCUUCCGCGUGUCUCUCAGCCUUCUCGUCGUUCGCUCUCCUUUCCCCGCGUCGCUCGCCCCGGCCCAGUCCGUCAAACAGUUCAGUUCUGUCCUCGUCACCGAAACUUGCAGUGUCUCUGACUAUCCAGCCGCUGGUCCUCAUCCGUUCCGCAGCUCUACUCUCUGUCUCUGGUUCAUCUAAAAACCCCUCCACAUUGCAGGGGGAGCG